RNAcentral lists this ribosomal RNA (292 nucleotides) under uncultured bacterium. RNAcentral's name for it is "partial 16S ribosomal RNA". It matches the Rfam family "Bacterial small subunit ribosomal RNA", at positions 505 to 796 of the family's 1533-position model. The record is from RNAcentral.
GUGUCAGCCGCCGCGGUAAUACAGAGGUCCCAAGCGUUGUUCGGAUUCACUGGGCGUAAAGGGUGCGUAGGCGGUCGGGUAAGUUUGAUGUGAAAUCUCUGGGCUUAACCCAGAAAUGGCAUUGAAUACUAUUCGGCUAGAGAGUCGGAGGGGGGACUGGAAUACUUGGUGUAGCAGUGAAAUGCGUAGAUAUCAAGUGGAACACCAGUGGCGAAGGCGAGUCCCUGGACGAUUUCUGACGCUGAGGCACGAAAGCUAGGGGAGCAAACAGGAUUAGAAACCCCUGUAGUCC